GAAGGGUGAACGGCCACAUUGGGACUGAGACACGGCCCAAACUCCUACGGGAGGCAGCAG
RNAcentral lists this ribosomal RNA (60 nucleotides) under uncultured bacterium. Its description in RNAcentral is "partial 16S ribosomal RNA". It matches the Rfam family "Bacterial small subunit ribosomal RNA", at positions 295 to 354 of the family's 1533-position model. The record is from RNAcentral.